This is a long non-coding RNA of Pseudopipra pipra, 550 nucleotides long. RefSeq lists it as uncharacterized. The transcript has 2 exons. The record is from RefSeq and is a predicted model, not a curated record. NCBI's taxonomy places the organism in Eukaryota, Metazoa, Chordata, Aves, Passeriformes, Pipridae.
CCUCUUUGUCUGCCCGGCGACCGCUGCCCUCGGACCCUCAGCCAUGGCACGAACCUGCGGGGACACAACAGCGGAGGGGCUGCGGUUUCCAUUACUCAAGCGAUCCUCGUGCUCAUGUCCGGUGCAGCAAGUUUUAUCCGCAGCGAUUCACCUCACCUGGAGGCUGAGUACAACAGGAGCCCUUAUCAGGCCACAGCAUGUACCUCCCAAAAAGCCAAAUGCACCCAGAGUUAUUUUGUUGUGCUACAAGCUCCAGCAUUCCACAGGAUGGAGCUGCCCAGAGAGGACAGGGGUUCCUUGGCACGCUGCGAGAUCAGCGUAAGAGAGCUCCGUUUAUCCAUUCAGAUGGAACAUGGAAGGGCUGGCGCUUCCAAGCAGGCCGGAUUAUCAAACACAGCUCGUUAUUUCAGCUAAUAAGGGGAAGAAAUGCAGCACGUCCUUUUUUUUUUUUUUUUGAACUGACACUUGUGAGAUAUUUCAGGAGCGGCGUGGGGGCAAAGGGAAGAUUUAUCACAGGGUCCCAGCUGCACUUUGUUUGGAGAAGUGAUAA